Molecule: transfer RNA, 71 nt
Filed under: Culex quinquefasciatus (southern house mosquito)
Lineage: Eukaryota; Metazoa; Arthropoda; Insecta; Diptera; Culicidae
Description: tRNA-Sec
Source: RNAcentral
GGUCCUGUGAUGUAGUGGUAAGCGUGGUUGUCCUCAACACAGUUGGCCUAGGUUCGAUCCCAGUUGGAAGG